Molecule: ribosomal RNA, 492 nt
Filed under: uncultured bacterium
Lineage: Bacteria
Description: partial 16S ribosomal RNA
Rfam family: Bacterial small subunit ribosomal RNA
Source: RNAcentral
AGUGAACGCUGGCGGUAGGCCUAACACAUGCAAGUCGAACGGCAGCACAGUAAGAGCUUGCUCUUACGGGUGGCGAGUGGCGGACGGGUGAGGAAUACAUCGGAAUCUACUUUUUCGUGGGGGAUAACGUAGGGAAACUUACGCUAAUACCGCAUACGACCUACGGGUGAAAGCAGGGGAUCUUCGGACCUUGCGCGAUUGAAUGAGCCGAUGUCGGAUUAGCUAGUUGGCGGGGUAAAGGCCCACCAAGGCGACGAUCCGUAGCUGGUCUGAGAGGAUGAUCAGCCACACUGGAACUGAGACACGGUCCAGACUCCUACGGGAGGCAGCAGUGGGGAAUAUUGGACAAUGGGCGCAAGCCUGGUCCAGCCAUACCGCGUGGGUGAAGAAGGCCUUCGGGUUGUGAAGCCCUUUUGUUGGGAAAGAAAAGCAGCAGGUUAAUACCCCGCUGUUCUGACGGUACCCAAAGAAUAAGCACCGGCUAACUUCGUG